GACGAACGCUGGCGGCGUGCUUAACACAUGCAAGUCGAACGGAAAGGCCCUGCUUUUGUGGGGUGCUCGAGUGGCGAACGGGUGAGUAACACGUGAGUAACCUGCCCUUGACUUUGGGGUAACUUCAGGAAACUGGGGCUAAUACCGGAUAGGAGCUCCUGCUGCAUGGUGGGGGUUGGAAAGUUUCGGCGGUUGGGGAUGGACUCGCGGCUUAUCAGCUUGUUGGUGGGGUAGUGGCUUACCAAGGCUUUGACGGGUAGCCGGCCUGAGAGGGUGACCGGCGACAUUGGGACUGAGAUACGGCCCAGACUCCUACGGGAGGCAGCAGUGGGGAAUAUUGCACAAUGGGCGGAAGCCUGAUGCAGCAACGCCGCGUGCGGGAUGACGGCCUUCGGGUUGUAAACCGCUUUCGCCUGUGACGAAGCGUGAGUGACGGUAAUGGGUAAAGAAGCACCGGCUAACUACGUG
RNAcentral lists this ribosomal RNA (468 nucleotides) under uncultured bacterium. Its description in RNAcentral is "partial 16S ribosomal RNA". It matches the Rfam family "Bacterial small subunit ribosomal RNA", at positions 28 to 507 of the family's 1533-position model. The record is from RNAcentral.